This 253-nucleotide ribosomal RNA is filed under the name uncultured bacterium. RNAcentral's name for it is "partial 16S ribosomal RNA". It matches the Rfam family "Bacterial small subunit ribosomal RNA", at positions 524 to 776 of the family's 1533-position model. The record is from RNAcentral.
UACGAAGGGGGCUAGCGUUGCUCGGAAUCACUGGGCGUAAAGCGCACGUAGGCGGCUUUUUAAGUCAGGGGUGAAAUCCUGGAGCUCAACUCCAGAACUGCCUUUGAUACUGGGAAGCUCGAGUCCGGGAGAGGUGAGUGGAACUCCGAGUGUAGAGGUGAAAUUCGUAGAUAUUCGGAGGAACACCGGUGGCGAAGGCGGCUUCCUGGACCGACACUGACGCUGAGGCGCGAAAGCUAGGGGAGCAAACGGG